AUAUCAAAUUAUUUAAAGAAUUGGCCAUAUAUCCUAAUAUGAAAGUGCAAAAGAAGAAACAAAAAUGCCCCGGGAGCCGGCGAGCGCCGCUCCGGGCCCAGUAGCUCCUGGGUGUCAUGGCUCUCGGGGCGGGUCACCCCGAGCCGGCGGGAUGCUGUUCUCAGCCUCCCCCCGGGUGUCUACACGUUCAUGAACGCACUUUUAGUAGUGCGCAUUAGAUUGCAUACCUCCCUCCCUUUUAGUACCUCACAAGAGGUCUUCCCUGCCGCAUGGGCGGCGGGCGGUACCCCAUGAUCUCGGAAGGUCCCUUCCAGACCCCCACAUUCACGAAACUACAAAAAGGUGCGUUAGACUGUUUUAAUGUGCAUUAGUGAAAGUGCACGUUAAAAUAGGCUAAUGCGUAUUAAAGCGCACGUGUGGUCAUGCCCUGGUGUAGGAGCCUGGCAGCCUGGGGCACUUCGGGUCCCACUUCAUUAAGUUCUUGCUGCUCUCACCAUACUUUUACUUGGGCUUCAGCUUUGGUUUCAGGCCAGCGGGAGGCCCUGGAGGGAUCUCGACGUUAGGCGGCUCCCUCUCCGGUGUGACAUGCUGAGUUUUGUUUGCGGAGAAAACAUCACUUAUCGACCGUUUCUUAGCAGGGGACAAUGACAAGUAACGCCUCAGGGACGUCUGAAGAGAGCAGCAGUAAACGCAGGAAGGAGAUGGAUAAGGAAACAUCAGAAAGUCCUCAGUUAUCCUGCCUUGAAAAACCAGACUCAGCUCUUUCUGAGAGUUCACACUCACUUUACAACGCAGAUGUGCUGGAAAAGGUUUUAAAUGACAUGGGGAAGGAAAUCAAUAGCCUGUUGUCAAAAUACGCCCACAUUUUAAGGCAAGUGUGUGUUUUUACACGAACUAUUUUUAGUAUGCAAAAAGUACAUCAUCUUAGAUAAUCUUGUUUCUUAAGUAGGCCAAAAGUAUUCUAACUACUUGUCAACCUUGAUCACUGGCAAAGGAGGCAACAUAUUUUGACGAUCUCGUACUUUCAAGUGUACGGGAUGUAUUAAGGAAAGAGUGACAAAAGUUCCAUACUUCUGAUAGAGGUCAGUGUUUUUCAGAACAGUGCAUUCAGGAAAAUUGCUGUGGAGCCAAAGUUAAACGAAAGGAACUAUGCUUGGCUACUUCUUGGUGAAGGAAAAUGUAAAUUUCUUCAGGGUUUUUUUUAUUUUUUCUAACUUGUCUAAGAACAUGUGCCGAGUGCCAGCCUAAAUUGAGUACCGGAGUGUACACAUGCAGUGUCAAGAAAGGGAAAGGUCAAAUAAAUCCUGAAAUGCCAAAACCCUUGGGUUUGUUUGUGGAAUUAACAAGCUGAUUUGUCAGACUCUGUUGGCUGAUAGGUAACAGAUUUCUAAGCCAUUAAAGUGAAUCCAAAUACAAGCAGUAGUUGAGAGUUAAAGUUUGAGUAUUUUAAUUUGAGGAUUUUUUCCA
RNA transcript from Alligator mississippiensis (American alligator), 1467 nucleotides. RefSeq lists it as uncharacterized. The record is from RefSeq and is a predicted model, not a curated record. NCBI's taxonomy places the organism in Eukaryota, Metazoa, Chordata, Crocodylia, Alligatoridae. The transcript is spliced from 3 exons.